This is a long non-coding RNA of Prinia subflava (tawny-flanked prinia), 6362 nucleotides long. RefSeq lists it as uncharacterized. NCBI's taxonomy places the organism in Eukaryota, Metazoa, Chordata, Aves, Passeriformes, Cisticolidae. The record is from RefSeq and is a predicted model, not a curated record. The transcript has 4 exons.
AACACGCUGAACGGCUCCGGGGCCUGGGCGCGGCCGCAGACUGCGGCAGGGGCUGGGCAGGGGGGCCGUGAGGAGGGAAGUAGGGCAGCGGAGGAGGGGCGGCGGCAGCGGGGGCUGGCGCCGGGGGCGAUCCGCAGCCCCGGCAGCGCAGCCCGCGCGGGAGGGGCGGGGGCUCCGUCCCGGCCUGUUGUGGGGCCGAGCGCGGGCCGGAGCCAGGGUGUCUGAGUCAGAGCUGCAUCCUCGGAGGAAUAAACGCCAAAACUCCCUCCUCGGCCGCUCUCACAUCCCCAACCUCCGGCUUCUUCCUCACGACCGUCGAUGCUGUCAGCAUACGUGUUAUUUAUGAAUCUCUUAACAGCACAUUUUCGGCCUAAGCUGCGCGAAAAACCGGGCAGACCCGCCGGAUCUCACACACGGAGAAGAACUACCUGAGGGGCGGGGAAGAGGGGAGCAAGAAAGGAGCGGGAAUUUUUGCAACCUGCUCAGGAGGUUUUGACUGAAAUUCUCAGUCAGACACUCGAGGAUGAGAAUCUUGCCCGAAGCGUUUAGGACUCAAAGGCAAGUGGGAGAAAGCUUCUUUCCUUAGAGCAAGUGCAACAGCACUCGCUGAAGGCAUUUCUGUUCUGCAGGGAAUGAGACAAGCAGCGAAUGAACCUCGUUUGCCCUUUAGGGAACAGCGCUCGGGGAGCAGGAAUGGCGCGCUUCCAUCCAGACCAGCGGGCGCUGCCAAAGCCAGGAGCUCGCUCAGGCGUUCAGGGCAGACACAGCCAUGGCCAUUCGUAAGGCGCCCCUCUUCCUACCACCAUAUCUCCUCCCAGCUCUCGCUGUACCCGUACGCCGCCCUGCCUCCCUUGCCCGGCUUCAACCCCUCCAGCGAUACGGCUGAUGGAGGGAGGGGAGGCGGCGGCUGGGGUUUCGUUCGACGCCCACCAGGGGCUGAGCGAGCCUCCUUCAGUGCGCAAACUCGGGGCACCAGAUAAAAGCUGGGCUGGCAGCUCUUACCCUGCCUCGAUGGAGCCGCCACAUUCGGGUGACUGGAGAAGCAGUUAGCAGCAGCGCCAUAGACUAGCGUCCCCCCACACCUUGGGCACAGAGAGUUUGGGGCUCUAAACAGCUGCUGCUGCGGCAGGAGGGAGCCGAGGGCGCUUGGCUGGGGCUGCUCGCUCGGGUUCUGCCUGUUGUUGCGCGAAAUGGCGGCUGGCGUCUUGGUUUGUAGAGGAUACCAGGGAAGAAAGGGAGAAGACAGUAAAUAGGAAUGACAGAGUAUGAAGCUUUCAGAAGUCUGCAGCCUCAUUUGAGCUUAGGUUUUAAAAUGUGAAAGUACCCUAAAGGACUUGCUGAAAUCUGAAGAUGGAGGCAGGCUCAGUCACUCAAACUCCAGUAGUUCCAGAAUCUGUAACGUAGACAGGAUAAGGAUUUUUUCUCUGCAGUUAAUGCUGUGCUUUUUUUGCUGGUUUCUCAGGGGAAAAGACUCAACAUGUUGAAUCACAGAGACGUUACUUCCUGCUGUUAUUUCCUUGCAGCUCUCCCCUCCAUGGCUGCAGGAGCUGUUUUCACAUAGUGCAUGUUUGCUGGAGAUGAAGACAGAAGCCAGCCAGUUCUGUGCUGAAUGUAAUAGUUUCUGACUCAGAUUGUGUGGUAAUUGUCAAAAUAUCAUAGGGUGUGGUAGGAACUGCUGUGUCGAACAUGGCUGAGAAUUUAUUCCUUCAUAAUUUGCCUAGAUGAGUAUAAUAUGCUAAUCUGAAUUAACAUAUGAAAACAGGGGAAAGAUUUCUUGAUGUUUUCUAGCCACUUGAAACCUGAUUGUGUGCAAAAAUAAAUUUCAGUAUGCCAGAGUAUUCAUGGGGUUUUUUUCCAUUUGGUCAAUCUUAACUCCCAUCCUUUCUGAUUUCCCACAGAAAGAAAGAAAAGCUACUUGCUAUAGCUUCAAAAAUAUUAACAAAAAACUGAGCACUGGGAAUAUGAUAGAGCUUCAAAUUACUAUCAGUUUCACUAGGAAUUAAAAACAUGUAAUCCUGGAACCUGCAGUAGUAAAUUGAUAUCAAGUAUUUUGACAUACAUACCUGCUUCAUACAGCUGGCUUUCCUCGUAGAAGAGAAAUAUUCCUAGCAGCUUGUUGCAGUACUGAGUUUUAGUGUCAAGUAUGAGAUUGGCACGUUUACUAUGAAGACAAACUUUAAGAGAAUUCAUAUGAACUCUACUUCUUCAGCAAUUGUUCUUGAUAAACUAGGUCUUGCAGCUCCAAGAGGCAAACAGGAAAGGGAUGGAGGGGUGGUAGUCAAAUUUUCAGGCAGAUCAGCUCCAGCUGGAUUUCAGCUCUCUGAAUGUGGAAUAGUGUCAAACAAUGCAGCACUCCUGUAUCCCCUUUUUUCAGAAAUGUCUUCAGAUCUGCUGUCUUUGUACUCGGCAGUGCUAGAGAAGAGUUCUGGAUGAAGCCAUUUCUCUCUUGUGUUUUAACCUCUGCUGUAUGCUGUCCAGUCCCCUUGUUCAGCAAGCAGUUCCUUUUGAUGAACUGUCCUCUGGUGCUGUUUGGAGAAAAGGGAAGGAGUUGAUCUCUAGAUGAGUAUGUGAAAUAUAGGACUGAAAGGACUGCCUGAAGUUGUUAAACCUAGUGACUUAGAGCAUCUAGAAAAGCCACUUUGCAGGAUAAUCCUUCCCAGCACAUUCGAUGAUAAUGUUUCCAGUGCUUUUGAGCUUUUGUCUCUGGGCUUUAAUGAUCCUAGAAUGUGAACUGGCACCUAAAGUAUCAUAAGAAGUGCAACUUCUGACAUAAUUUUAAAUAAGUGAAUCUUUCAUCCUUAGAUGUAAUUCUUGCUGGAUUAAAAUGGCUAUAUAUUUUAAUUAGAUAUGGUCUGUGUGCCUAAUUUGACACAGAAAUGCUUGAAAAAAUAAUAUUAAUGAAAAUUUUCCUUAAUGGUGAAUGACAGAUGUGUAAACUACCGUUAGACUCUGUGUGUGUGACUGAUUGUUUGUUAAAGGAAAAGCAUGUUUUCAGAGCGUGGUUUUUGGACUUCCAGACAGAUUACACAAACUCAAGGAGGCCCAGCCCACAUCCUGUGUAGAAAACCAGCUCACAGAAAUGCUCAUUGUUCUUCAGGGUUAUAAGUCACUGUAUUUUGUGCCUCCCUUCUAUUUCAAAAUAUUGUAUGGAAAAUACUAAUGCAAAGGAACCACAGGAACUUAACAAGUGCUUGGUCCUUUCAGGUACUGAGCACUGUGCUCUUACCAGAAGGCUGGGGGACUGGGAUUAGAACAAUUAGGCUCCCUGGCUAGAGAACAAAGAGUUUGUGUUGGUAAAAGUAGCUGAGAGCAUUUAUCAGGUGAAUAAAUCUAUUGAUAAUUGGCAUAUUUUCAACCUGAAAGUUGUUUGUGUGUGGCCAUGCCAGUAUUUACUACCUCAGAGUGAGAGUUACAGGAUAUAAGGGUUUCUUCAAGCAAGGUGAGUUCUCCCUGAUUGAUUGACCUCUGUUCAGUCUUUACUGCAGAAAUAAAGAACGUGGGGUGUCCAGAUCUGAUACCCCACCAGGAGGUGGUUAGUGUUUCUCAAUCUAUGCCCAUGCUUACUGCUGAGUUGUGUUAUUCCACCUGCAAGCUGAUGGACCUAUCCAUAAAGGGAGCUAUCAAAUCAAAAAUGAUAAAACCUGUUCACUCUUCCCUUUUUUUAACCUAUUUCAUCAUCUUGGAGAUUAUUUUUUAAAAAUGUGAUAUUCUUUCAUUUUUAAGUUUUAAACAAGAAAAAUGUUCCCAUGUUAAUUUUAAACCCUUUGUAUUAUGUUUUCUUACUUCAAAAAAGCAACAGCUUAUAUUUUUUGCUAGAGUUCGGUACCCAUUCAAGACUAAAAUAUUUAUGAUAAUACAGAUGUAGCUAAGCAGAAGGCUGCUGUAAGAGUGAGGUUUUGUCCUGGCUUUCUACAGUCUUCUGAAAGGAAUCACUUCCCUUUAGUCUCUGCCAGUGUCCUGGCUGUGCAGCAUUCCCAAAACAUGUGGCCCAUAAAAUGGGAUUAUAGGGAGGGCAUUCAAGUAAACAGAAGUUCCCUCGGGAUGAGAUUUGCUUUUUCAUGCAGAGCUCCUGUGUGCUGUAGACUGGCACUGGAAUGAAUUCUUCUCUUGGUGACCCCAAGAGUGGGAGAGCACCCAGGCCACCCUCUUGUUUUGGGGAAAAUCUCCUGGCUAGCACAAUAAAGUCCCCCUGUGCAGUGGUUUUGGAAGGACACACCCAGCUGAAGGUUUCCUCCUGUAUCUCUUUGGUGGCUCUGUGUAACAAUGAAUGACCAGUCUCAUGAUGUGGCUAGAGCUGCCAGAAAUCUGCAGUGAGCACACAGCUGUAUCAGUCAUUAUUUGUACAGUAUUGCUGAAGCAGCCCAAUGCUUUUAUCAGUUGUGUUCAGGGAUAAGUAGCUGCUUAAUGAUAAAAACCUUUGUGCUUCUAUGAGCAGACAGUGACAUUGGUAUAUAAUAGUGUAUUUCUGUGAUUGCAGGGUCCUGUUCAGCCUGUUCUGUUGAAAGUGUACAACCUGGGCAGGCUCAGUGCAGUUUGAAUACUUCUGAGUUCUUUGUUGAGACUAAAUUGUAUUGGUCUCAGCAGGGAAUGUUUCCAGAGCCGUUCCCUGCAUCCAUCCUGGCCUAAAUAACUCAGGCUGUCAUUGCUGCUCCACAGAAUGAUGCUGUGUGGGAUAUCAGGGCACAAAGCCUUCACACUUGUGUUCAUUGUACUGUAGCUAUGUUUCAUAUUUUGAAAGACCUUAUCACAAAUGGAUGUUGUCCUUCUAGCUCUCCCGUGGCUGCUAGUCACCAGGAGAAUGAUUCAGUCAGUAGUGUUCCUGUUAUGACAGACUCAUAGAAUGGUCUGGGUUGAAAGGGAUCCUAAAGAUCAUCUUGUUCUUCCUGCCUGCCGUGGACUGGGACACCUUCCCCUAGACUGGGAUACUCGGGGCCGCAUCCAGCCCGCCCUUGCACACUUCCAGGGAUGGGACAUCCACAGCUUCUCUGGACAACCUGUUCAGUGUUCACCACUCUCACAGUAAAGUAUUUCUUCCUGAUACCUAAUCUAAAUCUGCCUUCUUUCAGAUUGAAGCCAUCCCCAUGUCCUAUCACUGCAUGCCCUUGUAGGAAGUCCUUUUCUGUUUUUUUUUGUAGCGUCCCUUUGUAUACUGGAAGGCUCUGUAUUGCCAGUAGCAAGGCUUUGGAUGCUGGUGGCCUGGUCUUGGCUUCCUGGAGGCGCUGUUCCGUACCACUGCAUGCCUGCUUUUCUGCAGGGGGAAAGCUGCAAUUGUAAAUACUAUCCUUAAACCAGCAGGAAUUCAUGAAUUCCCUUGGGUGACUGUAUUCCACACAUGGCCUGUGUUUGUCAUGUCCUUGAUGUGCUACUGGGUAUUAGUGAAGAAUACAAUAAGAGAUCCCUCCAGACUGGAAGAUUGCCCUCUGCAUUUGGUCAGCACAGCCUUAUUUGUACUGACUUUACCUUUCUUUAGAGGUAACUCUGAACAGAAGUGGUUAAACUUCUUGUAAUUGUGAAGCUUUGAACCAAUAGCAGCAGUGAGAGUUUUCAGUUAUCUGAAGAAAUGUACAUUAGAAAUUCUUGGGUUUUAUUUCUGCACCUGGUACAAAGAAGUAGAACAGCCCUGGGAACAGUCAAGACAACCCAGUUCCUGCCACUGUCAAAAGCAGCAAAUCCAUUCAUUUGUGUACCUCCUAUUGUAACCAAAGCAAAGUUAUGUUGUGGGUUCUAAAUCAGGAGUCGCUAUUCUUUCUCUUUGGUUUCCUUUGAAAGCCUUUACAAUGGGGAGCAUGCUUACAAAAUUAAGGGAGUCAACUUUGGGGCCUGUAUCUCACAUCACAGGUGAGUGCACUCAGAGUAAUGUCAUUGUCACAGCUGUACUCAGCUUUUGUUUCAACAGGAUCAGAUUCUUUGCUCUCAUCUGCAGAGGGGUAUAAAUGAGAGAAAGGCUGACUUAAUGUGAUGGCAGAUUGUUAAGAGUAGUAGUUAUUUAAAGACUGCUUAAUCCUAUUUAAGGUUGGGAUUUUUUGGAAAGUCUGGUUUAUGGAUAUAUUUUGUACAAGAGCCCAUUUAAGAGCUGGAUCUCAAUAAAUCUAUAAUUUGCUACAUCUCCUUUGGUAUUUUCAUCAUAUUUCAACUGUAUGAGAGUUAAAUGAUUAAUAAAUAAAAUUUUCUGAAGGUCAUUUGAUGGUCUGAGAUUAAUUGAUGUUUUAAAUACCUACAGGUUUUAAGGAAAAGUGAUGCUGAAUUAUGAGGGGAAGUACCAAUUUAUUUAAUGACUGUUUUUCUAAUAAAUAUAGAUGAUAAAGCUGUAACUGCAGGGAACCAAAAAUGUCAUGUGAAUAAACAGUAGCACCUGCUUCUAU